GAUGAACGCUAGCGGCAGGCCUAACACAUGCAAGUCGAGGGGUAACAUUGGAGCUUGCUUCAGAUGACGACCGGCGCACGGGUGCGUAACGCGUAUGCAACCUACCUUUUACAGGGAGAUAGCCCGAAGAAAUUCGGAUUAAUAUCCCAUAAUAUAUUUGUAUCGCAUGGUAUAGAUAUUAAAGUUCCGACGGUAAAAGAUGGGCAUGCGUGACAUUAGCUAGUUGGUGAGGUAACGGCUCACCAAGGCUACGAUGUCUAGGGGUUCUGAGAGGAUGAUCCCCCACACUGGUACUGAGACACGGACCAG
RNAcentral lists this ribosomal RNA (309 nucleotides) under uncultured bacterium. RNAcentral describes it as "bacterial SSU rRNA". It matches the Rfam family "Bacterial small subunit ribosomal RNA", at positions 28 to 334 of the family's 1533-position model. The record is from RNAcentral.